GCUUUGUAAGAACACUUUAUUUUUCUGGUGCUGCAGGCUGCAAGUUUCACACUCUGAGACUAAAUCCCAUUUGUAUCGUCCGGGUCCCGGGGAGAGACAUUGAUUUAAAAGUAGCUGAAAUGGAGCACAGAAACAAACUGAAGCCCAAAUGAGGAGACACUUCUGUGAGAGGCAGCUGGAGAUCAAACCCACCCAGGAUGCUCUCCAGUCAGUAUCUGCAGCAACAAAGAAUCUUGCAGAUAGACAUGUAUUUAAAACAGCCAGCUCACGCACUGCUGGCUGUAGGCCCCAUCAGGAGGAAUGUAUUUUAAAGGACCAGCCCAAGACCAGGGGAGGAUAACUGACCUUUCAGUGAAGAAAAGCUGCCAGCAUUUUCAGCAAACCCCAGGAACAGCAUCCAAAUCCUGCAGUCCAAUGCCCAGACUGUUUCCUAUUCUCAGUUAUUUUACUUUGUGUUUUGAUAAUUUGUGAUGAAUAUUCACAUGUCAUAAAAAAGACCUUUAAAUAAAAUGAGAUGAAACUAAAGAACA
Molecule: long non-coding RNA, 530 nt
Filed under: Coturnix japonica (Japanese quail)
Lineage: Eukaryota; Metazoa; Chordata; Aves; Galliformes; Phasianidae
Description: lncRNA (ENSCJPG00005014058.1)
Source: RNAcentral